RNA transcript from Vigna radiata var. radiata (mung bean), 1591 nucleotides. RefSeq lists it as uncharacterized. Lineage: Eukaryota; Viridiplantae; Streptophyta; Magnoliopsida; Fabales; Fabaceae. The record is from RefSeq and is a predicted model, not a curated record. The transcript has 9 exons.
UACCGGUCAUAAUAUGCAACACCUUCAUGAUAAUAUUUCAUUCUCAAUAUCUCUAACUCUCGAGGUUUUUUCACUUUCUCUUUUGCAAGCCCUAAUUUCUGACAUCGUCAAGCAGCACGAGCAAAAUGCCUGUGGCGACGACACCUUUGCUCGCCUUUAUGCAGCUGUCGAAUCAAGCAUUCAGACCACUCUCAACAAAUUAGAGGCUGCUUCCACAUAGAGCAACAGGGCAGUUGCUGCAGCUUUGAAUGCGGAGAUAGCGGCGACGCCGACCACCAUGUAGAGUCGCUGGAAAUUGUGUUUCUGGAAGCUUUCGGAGAUCGACGAAGAAUCGAGGGGGAUGACCGUUGGGAGAGUGAAGAAGAAAGAGGAAAGUUCAGUGGUUGAGGGUCAGAUUCAGGCGAGGAAGAUGUUUGAGAGGGAGAAGGUGAAAUCGGUGUGUGAGAGUAACAAGAAGACUGUGAAGUAGGGUAGGAUGGUGGCGGGUAGGUAUAAUGGCGGUGGUGAUGUGAGGAAGAGGUUGUUGCCAGAGGGAGGGAGUGAGAUUAGGGUUAAGAAGAGGCACUUUGUGUUCCGGUGAAUAGGCUUGUCCAAGCUCCUGAUUCAGUUUCCGUAUGCUUUCUGUUCUUUUUCCUGUUUUCCUACAAUUCAUUAUAUUUCUUGGCCUUUAUCUAACUUAUUAAUGAAAGUUCCAAAGGACUGAUUUUAUGGUCUCUUUCAUAUGAAAUUUAUUGCGUCUAUAAUACCCCAUUGAAUAAUAGUAAAGCAAACCUUAGGAGGUGGAAUGAGACAGAUUGGCAUCCUUUGUGCUGCAGCACUUGUUGCCUUGCAGGAAAAUAUUGGAAAGCUAGAUUUUUAGCGAUGGAUUGAGGGAACUUAAAGGACUAAGAGUGAACAACCUUGUUGGAGAGACCAAUAUAGCGAGUAUUUAGAAUCUAGUGCAGUGUAACUUGUUUAUACGAUGAAACUUCAUUGUUGCUCUGCUUAUUUGUGUUUUGAUGGAUGACCAUAAUAUUGUCCUUCUUCUGCAGUUGCUUGAUACUGGUGUGGAGCUUGGUAAAAAGGUAGAUGGUGAAUUACUGGCACUUCAGAAGGAGUGUUAGUAGCGCUAAAUGAGGCAAGGACACACAUAACCAAGUUGGUAUUGCUCACAAUGGUGGCUUAGUGCCAUUGCUCAAGCUUCUUGACUCAAAAAAUGGGUCUUUGCAACAUAAUGCUGCUUUUGCUUUAUACAACCUUGCAGACAAUGAGGAUAAUGUGUAUGAUUCAUUAGGGUAGGUGGAGUUCAGAGGCUGCAAGAUGGAGAAUUUAUCAUUCAAGAUCGACCAUCUACCAAGGUUCAUGCUCCUCCAGGCGGUGGAUCUUCCUUGCGAUACCUCUUUGGUGGUCCUCCCGGGAACUAAUUAAUUCAUGGAUGUGGUUCAAAUCUACCAUGAUGAUGAAUCAUGUGUAAAAUAGAUAGUGUUGUCAUUGCCUUGUGUUUAGUCUAGUGAAUUUUAUAACAUAUUAGAGUUGAAGUGUUGGUGAAUGUAUUUUUAUUAUGAAUGGAAUCAAUUGUAAUUGGAAUGUAAUCAAUUAUGAAUGAUUAUAA